AUAUAUCGAUCACUGCUCUCCUUAACCAGAAUAUAUCGGUUGUUAUUUGCGUCCCCUUCCACGGUUCCACUGCCAACGACGGCCGUCGGCCAUCUUUCCCGCCGUCACUCGUCGGCCUUCUGGACUCAUUCGCCUCUUUCGUCCCCGCCUUGGCGAGUAGCUGGAAAGCAACCAUUUGAUCGAUUUGGUAAAUAAAGGUUGAAAAUCGAUCAGAAUCAGUUGGAAAGGAAAGAAAUGUUGGACCUCAACGUGGAGUCUUUGGGGGAGCCGACGGCUAUCGAAGAGAGGGCAUUUGCCGAAGUUACCGAUGGCAGUACGCUGGUGGUUUCCUCGGAGACGUCCGAAUCAUCCGUCCUUAACGCUGAGGCUUCCGCCAAUGCUCCGGCCGACGAAGACUCGUGCUCUAUCGUGCCGGUUGCGGUCACUGCCUUCAGAUUUGGUAUCUUGAAGAGCUCCGAAGGCAGGAAUGAUGUGGAGAUGGAGGAGGAUAGAAACGAAUUUUCGAAGGAGUCACGCAUAGUCACCAAGCUGCUGUUUCCUCCGGAGUCGGCAGUAGUUGUGGCGCCUUCCUUGCCGUCAUCAUCAAGAUGGCAGUGGAUGGAUCAUACACAAGCUGGAGUUUGUCAACCGCGUCCAUGGCAGCAACAUCAACGGACGCAGACACAGACACAGACACAGACACAGACACAGACACAGGCACAGCCACAGCCACAGCCACAGUCACAGCCACAGCCACAGUCAGAUCAACAGCAAGCGAAGAAGAGUAGGAGAGGGCCUAGAUCAAGAAGCUCUCAGUACAGGGGCGUCACGUUCUACCGGAGGACAGGAAGAUGGGAAUCUCAUAUCUGGGAUUGUGGAAAGCAGGUAUAUUUGGGUGGUUUUGACACUGCUCACGCCGCUGCAAGAGCAUAUGAUCGAGCUGCCAUCAAAUUCAGAGGACUUGACGCUGAUAUUAAUUUUACUCUCAGCGACUACGAGGAGGAUAUGAAACAAAUGAGAAAAAUGACUAAAGAAGAAUUUGUGCACAUACUUCGGAGACAAAGCAAUGGAUUUUCUAGGGGAAGUUCCAAGUAUAGAGGGGUGACUCUUCACAAGUGCGGUCGCUGGGAAGCUCGAAUGGGGCAGUUGCUAGGAAAAAAGUACAUAUAUCUUGGGCUAUUCGACAGCGAAAUAGAAGCUGCAAGAGCUUAUGACAAGGCAGCUAUCAAAUGCAACGGGAGGGAGGCUGUGACCAAUUUCGACCUGAGUACAUACGAGGGAGAUCUUUAUACUGAGGUUGACAUUGAAGGUGUAGUCCACAACUGCGGGCAGUUUUUUAUUUCAGUCAUAGAUAGAGGAGAUUUUAGAGAUUCAAAUCAAAGAUCUGUUUAUGUAGCUUAUAUAAUCCCCUUCGGUGGUUUUGUCACCCUUUCAGGCCCUAACGUCGAUUUGAACUUAAGAAUUUCUCAACCUUCUAUGCCCAGUCCAAGAAGGGAUCAAAAUCAGCAAGAUUUUCUGUUCCAUGAUGCCUCACACGAUGUCGCUGAAAAGAACAAUCAUCCUCAUCUGGAACCAGCACACAUGCCCCCUGAGAAUUUCCCUUCUUCUACUUAUCAAAACCCUGCUUUCUGUUCCAUCAUCGAGGUAAGUUUUUCUUUGGUUGUCGUCAUCUCUCUCUCUCUCUCUUUCUGUCUCUAGAGAGCGCUCUCUCUCUGGAGAGGUCGACAUAAAAAACUGUAUUAUUAACUGCUCAAACUGUUUUAUGCACUUGCUUUUAUAUGUAUCGGCGCUCUCUUUCUCUCUCCGGUGGAUUCUUCCAUCACCGUCUACUUAAGUAGAAGAAAGACUUCUUUUCUUUUAGUGUAUUUGCUUUUAUAUUUGUAUGAUGUCUAGACUGUCAGUAUUCCACUUGAAUGUAGCUUUGACCUGCCAAAUUAUGUGUUUACCUUGAAUUGCAUCUAAGCUGGUUUUGGUCUCUUCAUUUGGAGAUUUGUCCUUCACACGAGGUUGCAUUCUUCACAAAAUGCAGGAAAGAAGAAGAGAAAAGAGGCCCAUGCAUCAUCAGGAUUCUUAACUGCCCCCACAGGAGCUGCCAUUCCGCCUCCAAAACAAUAUCCAUUCAAUACAUCCAACUGCCCUAAAUAAUCAUUAAAACAGAAGCUUAAGAUGAUUUUGUGGCGGGAGAUGCAAUCACAAAGAAUUUGAUGUAUGCAGGAUACUUACAUACGACUAAUCUAGGGCGGUGCUUGUUCUAAAAGUAAGGGAGAUGCAACCCUAACAGUUCAGGAAUAAGGCAUAAUAUCCUCUCUUUUUUUUUUUGUUCUCCCGAUAGCCCCAUUUUAUUUUAUAUAUAUAUAUAUAUAUAUAUAUAUAUAUAUAUAUAUAUAUAUAUAUAUAUCGUUAAAAAAGUGCACAAACAUACGAUCACAAUCAAAGAUCCUCUCAUGUGUCAUGUCUGUUAGAUCUGAGAGGUUAAUCAAAAUAUGAUGUCCAUGUGCUAAUUCUAAUGUCAUCUUUCUGUAUCGUGCUUUGAUCAUCUCAUCGGGAUAGUCUAAUGGUUAGUACAUGAGGAUGAUCUAAUGGUUAGUACAUGAGAUGUUAUCAUCAUGAGAUCUGGAGUUCAAAUCUCGAUAAAGUCGAGAUAAAUGUCUUCUUUAUGUGCUAGUCAUUAUUUUAAAGAUUAGUAGUUGUCCA
Zingiber officinale is the source of this 2673-nucleotide RNA transcript. It is a transcript of the gene named AP2-like ethylene-responsive transcription factor TOE3, with no coding region annotated. The record is from RefSeq and is a predicted model, not a curated record. The transcript has 10 exons. Lineage: Eukaryota; Viridiplantae; Streptophyta; Magnoliopsida; Zingiberales; Zingiberaceae.